UAUUGCAAAAACGUGUAGUAAUACAACAUGAUCUAGUCGACGUUUCAGUCCACGAAGGACUUUUAUCAAGACUGUCUUGAUAAAAGUCCUUCGUGGACUGAAACGUCGACUAGAUCAUGUUGUAUUACUACACGUUUUUGCAAU
This 144-nucleotide microRNA precursor is filed under the name Pelobates cultripes (western spadefoot toad). Lineage: Eukaryota; Metazoa; Chordata; Amphibia; Anura; Pelobatidae. The record is from RNAcentral.